GACGAACGCUGGCGGCGUGCUUAACACAUGCAAGUCGAACGGAAAGGCCCUGCUUUUGUGGGGUGCUCGAGUGGCGAACGGGUGAGUAACACGUGAGUAACCUGCCCUUGACUUUGGGAUAACUUCAGGAAACUGGGGCUAAUACCGGAUAGGAGCUCCCGCUGCAUGGUGGGGGUUGGAAAGUUUCGGCGGUUGGGGAUGGACUCGCGGCUUAUCAGCUUGUUGGUGGGGGAGUGGCUUACCAAGGCUUUGACGGGUAGCCGGCCUGAGAGGGUGACCGGCCACAUUGGGACUGAGAUACGGCCCAGACUCCUACGGGAGGCAGCAGUGGGGAAUAUUGCACAAUGGGCGGAAGCCUGAUGCAGCAACGCCGCGUGCGGGAUGACGGCCUUCGGGUUGUAAACCGCUUUCGCCUGUGACGAAGCGUGAGUGACGGUAAUGGGUAAAGAAGCACCGGCUAACUACGUG
Molecule: ribosomal RNA, 468 nt
Filed under: uncultured bacterium
Lineage: Bacteria
Description: partial 16S ribosomal RNA
Rfam family: Bacterial small subunit ribosomal RNA
Source: RNAcentral